UGAGGAAUAUUGGGCAAUGCCCGCAAGGGUGACCCAGCAACGCCGCGUGGAGGAUGAAUGUCGUAAGAUUGUAAACUCCUGUUAGAGGGGAAGAAUAGUACCGGUUGGACCGGUAUAUGACUGUACCCUCAGAGAAAGCCCCGGCUAACUACGUGCCAGCAGCCGCGGUAAUACGUAGGGGGCAAGCGUUGUCCGGAUUUACUGGGUGUAAAGGGCGCGCAGGCGGGAUAAAAAGUCAGUGGUGAAGUCCUACAGCUUAACUGUAGAACUGCCUUUGAUACUUUUAUUCUUGAGUUCGGGAGAGNGAGACGGAAUUCCAGGGGUAGUGGUGAAAUACGUAGAUAUCUGGAAGAACACCAGUUGCGAAGGCGGUCUCUUGGUCCGACACUGACGCUGAGGCGCGAAAGCGUGGGGAGCAAACA
This 422-nucleotide ribosomal RNA is filed under the name uncultured bacterium. Its description in RNAcentral is "bacterial SSU rRNA". It matches the Rfam family "Bacterial small subunit ribosomal RNA", at positions 355 to 774 of the family's 1533-position model. The record is from RNAcentral.